Molecule: ribosomal RNA, 427 nt
Filed under: uncultured bacterium
Lineage: Bacteria
Description: bacterial SSU rRNA
Rfam family: Bacterial small subunit ribosomal RNA
Source: RNAcentral
UGGGGAAUUUUGGACAAUGGACGCAAGUCUGACCCAGCCAUGCCGCGUGCGGGAAGAAGGCCUUCGGGUUGUAAACCGCUUUUGUCAGGGAAGAAACGCUCUGGGCUAAUACCCUGGGGUAAUGACGGUACCUGAAGAAUAAGCACCGGCUAACUACGUGCCAGCAGCCGCGGUAAUACGUAGGGUGCAAGCGUUAAUCGGAAUUACUGGGCGUAAAGCGUGCGCAGGCGGUUAUGCAAGACAGAGGUGAAAUCCCCGGGCUCAACCUGGGAAUUGCAUUGGAGACUGCAAGGCUAGAAUCUGGCAGAGGGGGGUAGAAUUCCACGCGUAGCAGUGAAAUGCGUAGAUAUGUGGAGGAACACCGAUGGCGAAGGCAAUCCCCUGGACCUGUACUGACGCUCAUGCACGAAAGCGUGGGGAGCAAACA